RNAcentral lists this ribosomal RNA (459 nucleotides) under uncultured bacterium. RNAcentral describes it as "partial 16S ribosomal RNA". It matches the Rfam family "Bacterial small subunit ribosomal RNA", at positions 338 to 795 of the family's 1533-position model. The record is from RNAcentral.
CCUACGGGAGGCAGCAGUGAGGAAUAUUGGUCAAUGACGAGAGUCUGAACCAGCCAAGUAGCGUGAAAGAUGACUGCCCUAUGGGUUGUACAAUUCUUUUAUAAAGGAAUAAAACGACGGACGUGUUACUUUUUGCAUGUACUUUAUGAAUAAGGAUCGGCGAACUCCGUGCCAGCAGCCGCGGUAAUACGGAGGAUCCGAGCGUUUUCCGGAUUUUUUGGGUUUAAAGGGAGCUUAGGUGGGUUGUUAAGUCAGUUGUGAAAGUUUGCGGCUCAACCGUAAAAUUGCAAUUGAUACUGGCAGUCGUGAGUACAGUUGAGGUAGGCGGAAUUCGUGGUGUAGCGGUGAAAUGCUUAGAUAUCACGAAGAACCCCGAUUGCGAAGGCAGCUUACUAAACUGUGACUGACAUUGAUGCUCGAAAGUGUGGGUAUCAAACAGGAUUAGAUACCCGUGUAGUC